Molecule: non-coding RNA, 906 nt
Organism: Centropristis striata (black sea bass)
Lineage: Eukaryota; Metazoa; Chordata; Actinopteri; Perciformes; Serranidae
Source: the annotation of a RefSeq genome assembly
AUGUGUGAUGCCCGUCCCACCCUGACGGUGCUGCCCCCCUCCACUGAGCAGCUGCAGCAGGGGAAGGCCACGCUCAUGUGCCUGGCCAACAAGGGCUUCCCCUCAGACUGGAGUCUGGCCUGGAAGGUGGACGGCAGCAGCAGCAGCAGCAGCAGCAUCAGCUGGGAGCAGAGCAGCAGCCCCGGGGUGCUGGAGAAGGACGGCCACUACAGCUGGAGCAGCACCCUGAGGCUCUCUGCAGACCAGUGGAGGAAGGUGGGCUCUGUGACCUGUGAGGCCACCCAGGGCUCCCAGACUCCGCUCUCAGAGACUCUGAGGAGAGACCAGUGUCCCCAGUCGUGAUCUGACUCAUUGGUUCUACUCUGCUACUGCUCUCAGUCUGCACUCUGUAACUCUCUCUUUCUCGCACGUUCUUGCUUGUGUUGAUGCUUUCAACAUUUUAAAACAAUAAAUAUUUGAUUAUGUGUAUUAGACAAGUUUUUGACCUCCUUUCUUUCACAUAUAUAAGAUAUAACAGUCCAGUCCAGAACUGUAAACUCCGAAUGUACAUUAAUGUACAUUAAUUAAUCUAUUCAACUAGUUUAUACCCUUGAAGAUAUGGUGUUCAAUGUGUUUUAAAUAUUCUGAACAUCUAAAAUAAAAAUUAAAAUAGAAAAAUUAGAAAUAUAAAGAAGCGUAUCGUCUGCAUAAAGUGAUAGAACAAGAAUAAAAUAUGAGAUUUUAAACAAAAAAUUCAGCUCUGCUUGUUUUUCAAGUUUUUAAAAUGUAUCUGUUUCAUUCUCUGAAGACUCUUAGAGACACUGAGGACAGACCAGUGUUCCCAGUCCUGACCUGACCUACUACUACUGGUUGUACUCAGGUCUUUUGUUCUUUCUCUCACUAAUUACAUCUUUCAUGAUCAAACUU